UAGCGUAUAUUAAAGUUGUUGCAGUUAAAAAGCUCGUAGUUGAAGUUCUGGCUGUAUUGGGCCUCUGCACUUGAUGCGAAGGAACCAGCAGUCAUCCGCUUGCAAAUACAUGUUCUUCCUUAACCGGUAAACUGUAUAAGUAAGCAAUUUACCUUGAUAAAAACAGAGUGUUCCAGGCAGGUUUGUCCGGAAUGCGUUAGCAUGGAAUAAUAUAAUAUGACUAGAGUCGAUUUAUUGGUUAAAGGCUUUAGUAAUGAUUAAUAGGAACAAUCGGGGGCAUUGGUACUCGUCAGUCAGAGGUGAAAUUCUAAGAUUUGACUAAUACUAACUGAUGCGAAAGCGUUUGCCAAGAAUGUUUUCAUUAAUCAAAAACGAAAGUUAGGGGAUCAAAGACGAUUAUAUACCGUCCUAGUCUUAACUAUAAACUAUACCAACUCGGAUUCAGAUGAAUAUUAAAGUUCAUUUGGGACCGUACGAGAAAUCAAAGUCUUUGGGUUCUGAGGGGAGUAUGGUCGCAAGGCUGAAACUUAAAGGAAUUGACGGUUUUGCACCACCAUGGAUUGGAGCCUGCGGCUUAAUUUGACUCAGCACUGAGAAACUCUUCAGGGCAAGAAGAUUUUAGGAUUGACAGAUUGAGAGUUCUUUCUUGAUGGGUGUGGAGUUGGUGCAUGGCGGUUCUUGGGUGGGGGAGGGAUCAGUGUGGUAAAUUAAGUGAACGAACGAGACCGCAACAUCAUAGAUAGGACCCUGAUUUUCAAUCGGUGUCACCUCUGGGAGGG
This 779-nucleotide ribosomal RNA is filed under the name uncultured eukaryote. RNAcentral's name for it is "bacterial SSU rRNA". It matches the Rfam family "Eukaryotic small subunit ribosomal RNA", at positions 595 to 1394 of the family's 1831-position model. The record is from RNAcentral.